Molecule: unclassified non-coding RNA, 383 nt
Filed under: Hevea brasiliensis (rubber tree)
Lineage: Eukaryota; Viridiplantae; Streptophyta; Magnoliopsida; Malpighiales; Euphorbiaceae
Source: RNAcentral
GGCUUAGUUGUUAUUGUUGUUGUAUAAGGCGUACUCUCUCCCUUUUUGCAGCAUUCCUAUAUUUGGAACUUCAUUUGAAAGCUUUAUGAAUUGGCUUUUGGCAUGCAAAUCUAUCAACUGAAAAUUUGGCCUAGCUAAUUUUAUUUAAGAGUCCUUAUUGCCAAUCACAUCCAUGGUAUUCCUCUUUUUCAUGUUAUUAGAAACCUUUAGUAAGGAUUCCUCAUAGUAUAUUCACAAAUUCAAACAGUGCUGCCAUGUCUUAUCAAUGAUCACUGCCUAAUGUUUUUAAUAAUCUAAAUCAGGCUCUAUUUUUGAGAAUAUUUUUUCCUGAAAUGAUUCAGUGUUUUUUAUUAUUUAUGUAUGUAGGUUGUUUCUUCUGAGUU